GACGAACGCUGGCGGCGUGCUUAACACAUGCAAGUCGAACGAGACGAUUGAAAGCUUGCUUUCGAAAGUCGAGUGGCAAACGGGUGAGUAACGCGUAGACAACCUGCCUUUGAGAUGGGGACAACAGUUCGAAAGGACUGCUAAUACCGAAUGUUGUAUAUUUUCCACAUGGAAGAUAUAUUAAAGAUGGCCUCUAUUUAUAAGCUAUCGCUCAAGAUGGGUCUGCGUCUGAUUAGCUAGUUGGUGGGGUAACGGCCUACCAAGGCGACGAUCAGGAGCCGGUCUGAGAGGAUGAACGGCCACAUUGGGACUGGGACACGGCCCAGACUCCUACGGGAGGCAGCAGUGGGGAAUCUUCCACAAUGGACGAAAGUCUGAUGGAGCAACGCCGCGUGAGUGAAGAAGGGUUUCGGCUCGUAAAGCUCUGUUGUCGGGGACGAAUGUGCAGUAUUUGAAUAAAGUACUGUAAUGACGGUACCUGACGAGGAAGCCACGGCUAACUACGUGCCAGCCGCCGCGGUAA
Molecule: ribosomal RNA, 523 nt
Filed under: uncultured bacterium
Lineage: Bacteria
Description: partial 16S ribosomal RNA
Rfam family: Bacterial small subunit ribosomal RNA
Source: RNAcentral